This 82-nucleotide transfer RNA is filed under the name Plasmodiophora brassicae. It matches the Rfam family "tRNA". From Rfam's summary of the family: Transfer RNA (tRNA) molecules are approximately 80 nucleotides in length. Their secondary structure includes four short double-helical elements and three loops (D, anti-codon, and T loops). The record is from Rfam by way of RNAcentral. Lineage: Eukaryota; Endomyxa; Phytomyxea; Plasmodiophorida; Plasmodiophoridae.
GGCUUCGUGACCGAGUUGGUUAAGGUGGUAGAUUCGAAAUCUACUGGGCUUGCCCGCGCGCGUUCGAAUCGCGUCGAAGCCU